Molecule: ribosomal RNA, 942 nt
Filed under: uncultured bacterium
Lineage: Bacteria
Description: bacterial SSU rRNA
Rfam family: Bacterial small subunit ribosomal RNA
Source: RNAcentral
AGAGUUUGAUCCUGGCUCAGAGCGAACGCUGGCGGCGUGGUUAAGGCAUGCAAGUCGAGCGAUCCUGCGUGACCCGCAAGGGAAGCGCGGGAGAGCGGCAAACGGGUGCGUAACGCGUAGGUAACCUACCCUGAAGUGUGGGAUAACCCAACGAAAGAUGGGCUAAUACCACAUGUACUCCUGUCUCGAUGGAGAUAGUGAGGAAAGGUAGCCCCGACCGAAAGGUUGCUAUCACUUCAGGAGGGGCCUGCGUCCCAUCAGCUAGUUGGUAGGGUAACGGCCUACCAAGGCAUUGACGGGUAGCUAGCCUAAGAGGGCGGUUAGCCACACUGGGACUGAGACACUGCCCAGACUCCUACGGGAGGCUGCAGUCGAGAAUAUUUGGCAAUGGGCGAAAGCCUGACCAUGCGACGCCGCGUGCGGGAUGACGGCCUUCGGGUUGUAAACCGCUGUUACGAGGAACGAAUGCCCUUGAUACAAACAGUGUCGAGGGAGUGACGGUACCUCGAGAGAAAGCCACGGCUAACUCCGUGCCAGCAGCCGCGGUAAUACGGAGGUGGCGAGCGUUGCUCGGAUUUACUGGGUGUAAAGGGCACGUAGGCGGUCCUCUAAGCCCUGCCUGAAAGGCUCUGGCUCAACCAGAGCUUGCGGUAGGGGACUGAAGGACUUGAGGGUGCUAGAGGUGAGCGGAAUUCCCGGUGUAAGGGUGAAAUCUGUAGAUAUCGGGAGGAACACCAGUGGCGAAAGCGGCUCGCUAGGCCAUUCCUGACGCUAAGGUGCGAAAGCUAGGGGAGCAAACAGGAUUAGAUACCCUGGUAGUCCUAGCCGUAAACGAUGGACACUAGGUGUCGGCUCCAUUAGGGGUCGGUGCCGCAGGUAACCCGAUAAGUGUCCCACCUGAGGAGUACGGCCGCAAGGUUGAAACUCAAAGGAAUUGACGGG